UGGAGGCAGCAGUGGGGAAUUUUGCGCAAUGGGCGAAAGCCUGACGCAGCAACGCCGCGUGGAGGAUGAAGGCCUUCGGGUCGUAAACUCCUGUCGAUGGGGACGAAGUUCUAGCAAUAGGAUUGACUGUACCCGUUGAGGAAGCCACGGCUAACUCCGUGCCAGCAGCCGCGGUAAUACGGAGGUGGCAAGCGUUGUUCGGAAUUACUGGGCGUAAAGGGCGCGUAGGCGGCCUUACAAGUCAGAUGUGAAAGCCCCGGGCUCAACUCGGGAAUUGCAUCUGAAACUGUAAGGCUUGAGUUCUGGAGGGGGUAGUGGAAUUCCCAGUGUAGCGGUGAAAUGCGUAGAUAUUGGGAGGAACACCUGCGGCGAAGGCGGCUACCUGGACAGAAACUGACGCUGAGGCGCGAAAGCUAGGGGAGCGAACAGGAUUAGAUACCCCGGUAGG
Molecule: ribosomal RNA, 448 nt
Filed under: uncultured bacterium
Lineage: Bacteria
Description: bacterial SSU rRNA
Rfam family: Bacterial small subunit ribosomal RNA
Source: RNAcentral